Molecule: long non-coding RNA, 1017 nt
Organism: Dicentrarchus labrax (European seabass)
Lineage: Eukaryota; Metazoa; Chordata; Actinopteri; Moronidae
Exons: 2
Source: RefSeq, a predicted model, not a curated record
CAUCAACCUGCGGAGGCAACGUUCAAGACAGGUUACACAUGAGCACAAGAGUGACAGUUCUCAUACUGCCUAUAGCUGAAGCACCUCUUUUCAGCCUGUGUCUGAAACGCUCUCUUAUAGCCCCUGUCUCUUUAAGGCCCCCCUGCCAAAAAGCCCAGUCUGCUCUAAUUGGUCAGCAUUAUUACACGGCCGCAGCUUCCACCCUCCCUCUUCUGCCUCAGCGUUGCAGGUGUUUAAGCAGGUAGCUCCUCACUGCUACUGAGUUUAUCUGCAUUUCUACCGUCAAUAUUAAUUCAAUAACUGCUUCUAAACCAAAAACUUCCCCACCGGACAUGUUAGAGCGGGAGUCUGACCUGAAAUCACUGAAAUGAACAACAUCAACAAUCAAAUUACAGCUUUCUGUGACAUUUUCCUCAGCAGUGAGCAGUGACCUACAGUCUACACAGCCCAGUGAACUUAAACAUAUUUGUUGUGAGCAGCUAAAGAGGUAACGUGUUAGCAUGUGCAUGUAGCAUAGUAUAUAAUGUAAACUGUAAUUACCCUGAUGUGGGGAUGUUACCAUACGAAACAGACAAAGUGAAACAUUAGUCAAGCAGUUGUUUCUAGUGAAGAAACAGCCAGUAAAUGUACCAAAGUAAUCAGAGUAAUAGUAUAACGAUUACUGUAACCUCCCAUCUGUUAUAUUCUUCUGGAAAGUUACCAUAAUGAGUCAGAAACCUGCCUGCAAUACUUUAUCCUGUACAACUUGUCAAUAUAACUGAAGGAAUUACUCAUCUAAUAAAGUACCUUGUUAUGUGGUUUAAAAACUGCUCAGUAACUGUACUGUACUGUAUCCAUAUUUCAUAGCCUGAUAUUUUAACUGACAAUAAUUACCAAAGUUAACCUUAAAAUAUUUGUAAAAGCUGCAAUUAUAUUUUCACCACUUUUAAAAUACUGUAUACUGAAUAUUGUAUCAUUUAUAUUAUAUAUUAUGUCAUUUAUCUUCCAACAUAAUAAAGUUUGAAUGUGAGACAGUAA